CCUUUCCGGGACUCAGUGCCGCAGCUAACGCAUUAAGCACUCCGCCUGGGGAGUACGACCGCAAGGUUGAAACUCAAAGGAAUUGACGGGGGCCCGCACAAGCGGUGGAGCAUGUGGUUUAAUUCGAAGCAACGCGAAGAACCUUACCAGGUCUUGACAUCCCGGUGCCCGUCCUAGAGAUAGGAUUUUGCUUCGGCACACCGGUGACAGGUGGUGCAUGGUUGUCGUCAGCUCGUGUCGUGAGAUGUUGGGUUAAGUCCCGCAACGAGCGCAACCCUUAUUGUUAGUUGCCAUCAUUCAGUUGGGCACUCUAGCGAGACUGCCGGUAAUAAACCGGAGGAAGGUGGGGAUGACGUCAAAUCAUCAUGCCCCUUAUGACCUGGGCUACACACGUGCUACAAUGGCUGGUACAACGAGUCGCAAGUCGGUGACGGCAAGCUAAUCUUUUUAAAUCUUAAAGCCAGUCUCAGUUCGGAUUGUAGGCUGCAACUCGCCUACAUGAAGUCGGAAUCGCUAGUAAUCGCGGAUCAGCACGCCGCGGUGAAUACGUUCCCGGGCCUUGUACACACCGCCCGUCACACCACGAGAGUUUGUAACACCCGAAAUCGGUGAGGUAACCUUUUAGGAGCCAGCCGCCUAAGGUGGGUUAUAUGAUUGGGGUGAAGUCGUAACAAGGUAGCCG
This 682-nucleotide ribosomal RNA is filed under the name uncultured bacterium. RNAcentral's name for it is "bacterial SSU rRNA". It matches the Rfam family "Bacterial small subunit ribosomal RNA", at positions 829 to 1502 of the family's 1533-position model. The record is from RNAcentral.